GGAUUAGUUAAUUUUCUAUUAUGAGUUAUGACCUUGUUUUAUUAGUUUUCAAUAGUUUAAUGGAUACAUAUUUGUGUAUCAUAUAAAUUUGGAUAUAACAUUUUGUAAAAGGAUUUGAAAGUUUGAGUUGUAAUAAUUUUAGAUAUUAUUUAAUAUAUUUGAUUGAUUAUAUAUACAAUUUUAAAUUAGUAAGAAAAAAAAGAAGUUCAAGGAAAUAGAAAAAAGAAAUAGCAUCAGAUAAGAUAAAC
RNAcentral lists this unclassified non-coding RNA (248 nucleotides) under Hevea brasiliensis (rubber tree). The record is from RNAcentral. Lineage: Eukaryota; Viridiplantae; Streptophyta; Magnoliopsida; Malpighiales; Euphorbiaceae.